This 2923-nucleotide ribosomal RNA is filed under the name Klebsiella pneumoniae. Its description in RNAcentral is "bacterial LSU rRNA". It matches the Rfam family "Bacterial large subunit ribosomal RNA". Lineage: Bacteria; Pseudomonadati; Pseudomonadota; Gammaproteobacteria; Enterobacterales; Enterobacteriaceae. The record is from RNAcentral.
GGGUUGUGAGGUUAAGCGACUAAGCGUACACGGUGGAUGCCCUGGCAGUCAGAGGCGAUGAAGGACGUGCUAAUCUGCGAAAAGCGUCGGUAAGGUGAUAUGAACCGUUAUAACCGGCGAUGUCCGAAUGGGGAAACCCAGUGUGAUUCGUCACACUAUCGUUAACUGAAUACAUAGGUUAACGAGGCGAACCGGGGGAACUGAAACAUCUAAGUACCCCGAGGAAAAGAAAUCAACCGAGAUUCCCCCAGUAGCGGCGAGCGAACGGGGAGCAGCCCAGAGUCUGAAUCAGCUUGUGUGUUAGUGGAACGGUCUGGAAAGUCCGACGGUACAGGGUGAUAGUCCCGUACACCAAAAUGCACAGGCUGUGAGCUCGAAGAGUAGGGCGGGACACGUGGUAUCCUGUCUGAAUAUGGGGGGACCAUCCUCCAAGGCUAAAUACUCCUGACUGACCGAUAGUGAACCAGUACCGUGAGGGAAAGGCGAAAAGAACCCCGGCGAGGGGAGUGAAAAAGAACCUGAAACCGUGUACGUACAAGCAGUGGGAGCACCUUCGGGUGUGACUGCGUACCUUUUGUAUAAUGGGUCAGCGACUUAUAUUCUGUAGCAAGGUUAACCGUAUAGGGGAGCCGCAGGGAAACCGAGUCUUAACUGGGCGUUAAGUUGCAGGGUAUAGACCCGAAACCCGGUGAUCUAGCCAUGGGCAGGUUGAAGGUUGGGUAACACUAACUGGAGGACCGAACCGACUAAUGUUGAAAAAUUAGCGGAUGACUUGUGGCUGGGGGUGAAAGGCCAAUCAAACCGGGAGAUAGCUGGUUCUCCCCGAAAGCUAUUUAGGUAGCGCCUCGUGAACUCAUCUUCGGGGGUAGAGCACUGUUUCGGCUAGGGGGUCAUCCCGACUUACCAACCCGAUGCAAACUACGAAUACCGAAGAAUGUUAUCACGGGAGACACACGGCGGGUGCUAACGUCCGUCGUGAAGAGGGAAACAACCCAGACCGCCAGCUAAGGUCCCAAAGUCAUGGUUAAGUGGGAAACGAUGUGGGAAGGCACAGACAGCCAGGAUGUUGGCUUAGAAGCAGCCAUCAUUUAAAGAAAGCGUAAUAGCUCACUGGUCGAGUCGGCCUGCGCGGAAGAUGUAACGGGGCUAAACCAUGCACCGAAGCUGCGGCAGCGACACUAUGUGUUGUUGGGUAGGGGAGCGUUCUGUAAGCCUGCGAAGGUGUGCUGUGAGGCAUGCUGGAGGUAUCAGAAGUGCGAAUGCUGACAUAAGUAACGAUAAAGCGGGUGAAAAGCCCGCUCGCCGGAAGACCAAGGGUUCCUGUCCAACGUUAAUCGGGGCAGGGUGAGUCGACCCCUAAGGCGAGGCCGAAAGGCGUAGUCGAUGGGAAACAGGUUAAUAUUCCUGUACUUGGUGUUACUGCGAAGGGGGGACGGAGAAGGCUAUGUUAGCCGGGCGACGGUUGUCCCGGUUUAAGCAUGUAGGCUGAUUGUCCAGGCAAAUCCGGAUAAUCAAGGCUGAGGUGUGAUGACGAGGCACUACGGUGCUGAAGUAACAAAUGCCCUGCUUCCAGGAAAAGCCUCUAAGCAUCAGGUAACAUUAAAUCGUACCCCAAACCGACACAGGUGGUCAGGUAGAGAAUACCAAGGCGCUUGAGAGAACUCGGGUGAAGGAACUAGGCAAAAUGGUGCCGUAACUUCGGGAGAAGGCACGCUGGUGUGUAGGUGAAGUCCCUGCGGAUGGAGCUGAGACCAGUCGAAGAUACCAGCUGGCUGCAACUGUUUAUUAAAAACACAGCACUGUGCAAACACGAAAGUGGACGUAUACGGUGUGACGCCUGCCCGGUGCCGGAAGGUUAAUUGAUGGGGUUAUCCGUAAGGAGAAGCUCUUGAUCGAAGCCCCGGUAAACGGCGGCCGUAACUAUAACGGUCCUAAGGUAGCGAAAUUCCUUGUCGGGUAAGUUCCGACCUGCACGAAUGGCGUAAUGAUGGCCAGGCUGUCUCCACCCGAGACUCAGUGAAAUUGAACUCGCUGUGAAGAUGCAGUGUACCCGCGGCAAGACGGAAAGACCCCGUGAACCUUUACUAUAGCUUGACACUGAACAUUGAGCCUUGAUGUGUAGGAUAGGUGGGAGGCUUUGAAGCGUGGACGCCAGUCUGCGUGGAGCCAACCUUGAAAUACCACCCUUUAAUGUUUGAUGUUCUAACGUUGGCCCCUGACCGGGGUUGCGGACAGUGUCUGGUGGGUAGUUUGACUGGGGCGGUCUCCUCCCAAAGCGUAACGGAGGAGCACGAAGGUUAGCUAAUCCUGGUCGGACAUCAGGAGGUUAGUGCAAUGGCAUAAGCUAGCUUGACUGCGAGCGUGACGGCGCGAGCAGGUGCGAAAGCAGGUCAUAGUGAUCCGGUGGUUCUGAAUGGAAGGGCCAUCGCUCAACGGAUAAAAGGUACUCCGGGGAUAACAGGCUGAUACCGCCCAAGAGUUCAUAUCGACGGCGGUGUUUGGCACCUCGAUGUCGGCUCAUCACAUCCUGGGGCUGAAGUAGGUCCCAAGGGUAUGGCUGUUCGCCAUUUAAAGUGGUACGCGAGCUGGGUUUAGAACGUCGUGAGACAGUUCGGUCCCUAUCUGCCGUGGGCGCUGGAGAAUUGAGGGGGGCUGCUCCUAGUACGAGAGGACCGGAGUGGACGCAUCACUGGUGUUCGGGUUGUCAUGCCAAUGGCACUGCCCGGUAGCUAAAUGCGGAAGAGAUAAGUGCUGAAAGCAUCUAAGCACGAAACUUGCCCCGAGAUGAGUUCUCCCUGAGACUUUAAGUCUCCUGAAGGAACGUUGAAGACGACGACGUUGAUAGGCCGGGUGUGUAAGCGCAGCGAUGCGUUGAGCUAACCGGUACUAAUGAACCGUGAGGCUUAACCUUACAACGCCGAAG